AUGGAAGAAGAAAUCGCUGCGCUCGUCAUCGACCAGGGUUCCGGCACGUGCAAAGCUGGUUUUGCAGGGCAUGACGCUCCCCGAGCGCGAUCCCCUCCGUCGUCGGGCGUCCCCCACGCCAGGGAGUUAUGGUGGGCGUGGGUCAGAAGGACUCCUCCGUGGGCGACGAGGCCCAGAGCAAGCGAGGCCUCCUGACUCUGACGUAUCCCAUGGAGCAUGGCAUCGUCACCAACUGGGACGCUAUGGAGAAGAUCUGGCACCACACGUUCUACAACGAACUGCGUGUGGCCCCCGAGGAGCACCCGCUGCUGUUGGCCGAGGCCCCCCUGAACCCUAGGGCCAACAGAGAGAGGAUGACUCAGAUCACGUUUGAGACCUUCAACACCCCGGCCCUGUAUGUGGCCAUCCAGGCCGCGCUCUCCCUGUACGCGUCUGGUCAUACCUCUGGUAUUGUCAUGGACUCUGGAGACGGGGUCACCCACACGGUGCCCAUCUACGAGGGCUUCGCCCUCCCCCAUGGCGUCCCGCGUCUGGACCUGGCUGGCCGGGACCUGACUGACUACCCCAUGAAGAACCUCACAGAGUGUGGCUGCGGCUUCACCACCACAGCGGAGCGGGAGAUUGUGCACGACAUCAAGGAGAAGCUGUGCUACGUUGCCCUGGACUUCGAGCAGGAGAUGGCCACCGCCGCAUCCUCUUCCUCCCUGUUGAGGAGCUGCGACCUGCCUGAUGGCCAGGUGAUCACCAUUGGCAACGAGCCCUCCUUCCUGGGCAUGGAAUCCUGCGGCAUCCAGAGACCACCUUCGACUCCAUCAUGAAGUGUGACGUGGACAUCCGCAAGGACCUGUACGCUAACACAGUGCUGUCUGGUGGCACCACCAUGUACCCGGGCAUUGCUGACAGGAUGCAGAAGGAGACCACUGCCCUGGCGCCCAGCACCGUGAAGAUCAAGAUCAUUGCUCCCACUGAGCGCAAGCACUCCGUGUGGAUCGGUGGCUCCAUCCUGGCCUCCCUGUCCACCUCCCAGCAGAUGUGGAUCAGCAAGUAGGAGGAAUACGGUGAGUCAGGCCCCUCCAUCGUCCACCGCAAAUGCUUCUAA
This is an RNA transcript of Carlito syrichta (Philippine tarsier), 1099 nucleotides long. It is a transcript of the gene named actin, cytoplasmic 2-like, with no coding region annotated. NCBI's taxonomy places the organism in Eukaryota, Metazoa, Chordata, Mammalia, Primates, Tarsiidae. The record is from RefSeq and is a predicted model, not a curated record. The transcript has a single exon.